RNAcentral lists this non-coding RNA (248 nucleotides) under Streptomyces cellostaticus. Its description in RNAcentral is "Streptomyces sRNA 4677". It matches the Rfam family "Streptomyces sRNA 4677". From Rfam's summary of the family: Located in the intergenic region between anti-sigma factor SCO4677 gene and a putative regulatory protein gene SCO4676. scr4677 expression requires the SCO4677 activity and scr4677 sRNA itself seem to affect the levels of the SCO4676-associated transcripts. Lineage: Bacteria; Bacillati; Actinomycetota; Actinomycetes; Kitasatosporales; Streptomycetaceae. The record is from Rfam by way of RNAcentral.
UGCGUCGGUGGGACGGGAGGCCUUUCCCAAGAAACGGGAGACUGAAAGAACCCCCACCAAACCCCACCCCUCCCGCCCGCCCGCCGAGUGCCCUCACCCACGCGGGUGAACAUCACCAACUCAGCUGGAUUUCGGGCUGGUUGCCUGCCCUACGCUCGGCGCAACACCCGCAGACAUGCGACGGCCCUCGCCGGGACUGGCAUCCCAAUGCGAGGGCCUGACCACCGAGGAAGGUCUCAGGCUUCCUG